This 73-nucleotide transfer RNA is filed under the name Rickettsiales bacterium. Its description in RNAcentral is "tRNA-His". It matches the Rfam family "tRNA". From Rfam's summary of the family: Transfer RNA (tRNA) molecules are approximately 80 nucleotides in length. Their secondary structure includes four short double-helical elements and three loops (D, anti-codon, and T loops). The record is from RNAcentral. Lineage: Bacteria; Pseudomonadati; Pseudomonadota; Alphaproteobacteria; Rickettsiales.
GCGAGUGUAACUCAGCGGCUAGAGUGUCAAGUUGUGGCCUUGAAAGUCAUGGGUUCAAAUCCCAUUAUUCGCC